AUUGAACGCUGGUGGAAUGCUUUACGCAUGCAAGUCGAACGGCAGCACGGGAGCUUGCUCCUGGUGGCGAGUGGCGAACGGGUGAGUAAUGCAUCGGAACGUACCUAUUAGUGGGGGAUAACUAUCCGAAAGGAUAGCUAAUACCGCAUACGUCCUGAGGGAGAAAGCGGGGGAUCGCAAGACCUCGCGCUAAUAGAGCGGCCGAUGUUGGAUUAGCUAGUUGGUGGGGUAAAGGCCUACCAAGGCGACGAUCCAUAGCUGGUCUGAGAGGAUGAUCAGCCACACUGGGACUGAGACACGGCCCAGACUCCUACGGGAGGCAGCAGUGGGGAAUUUUGGACAAUGGGGGCAACCCUGAUCCAGCCAUUCCGCGUGAGUGAAGAAGGCCUUCGGGUUGUAAAGCUCUUUCGGCAGGAACGAAACGGUGGUUACUAAUACUAGCUACUAAUGACGGUACCUGAAGAAGAAGCACCGGCUAACUACGUGCCAGCAGCCGCCGUAA
RNAcentral lists this ribosomal RNA (502 nucleotides) under uncultured bacterium. Its description in RNAcentral is "partial 16S ribosomal RNA". It matches the Rfam family "Bacterial small subunit ribosomal RNA", at positions 30 to 523 of the family's 1533-position model. The record is from RNAcentral.